UGCUUGCACCGAGCGGAGGAGUUGCGAACGGGUGAGUAACGCGUAGGUAACCUGCCUCUUAGCGGGGGAUAACUAUUGGAAACGAUAACUAAUACCGCAUAAAAGUCGACAUUGCAUGAUGUUGACUUGAAAGGUGCAACUGCAUCACUAAGAGAUGGACCUGCGUUGUAUUAGCUAGUUGGUGAGGUAACGGCUCACCAAGGCGACGAUACAUAGCCGACCUGAGAGGGUGAUCGGCCACACUGGGACUGAGACACGGCCCAGACUCCUACGGGAGGCAGCAGUAGGGAAUCUUCGGCAAUGGACGGAAGUCUGACCGAGCAACGCCGCGUGAGUGAAGAAGGUUUUCGGAUCGUAAAGCUCUGUUGUAAGAGAAGAACGAGUGUGAGAGUGGAAAGUUCACACUGUGACGGUAACUUACCAGAAAGGGACGGCUAACUACGUGCCAGCAGCCGCGGUAAUACGUAGGUCCCGAGCGUUAUCCGGAUUUAUUGGGCGUAAAGCGAGCGCAGGCGGUUAGAUAAGUCUGAAGUUAAAGGCUGUGGCUUAACCAUAGUACGCUUUGGAAACUGUUUAACUUGAGUGCAGAAGGGGAGAGUGGAAUUCCAUGUGUAGCGGUGAAAUGCGUAGAUAUAUGGAGGAACACC
Molecule: ribosomal RNA, 647 nt
Filed under: uncultured Bacilli bacterium
Lineage: Bacteria; Bacillati; Bacillota; Bacilli
Description: bacterial SSU rRNA
Rfam family: Bacterial small subunit ribosomal RNA
Source: RNAcentral